Chelonia mydas (Green sea turtle) is the source of this 771-nucleotide long non-coding RNA. RefSeq lists it as uncharacterized. The transcript is spliced from 3 exons. NCBI's taxonomy places the organism in Eukaryota, Metazoa, Chordata, Testudines, Cheloniidae. The record is from RefSeq and is a predicted model, not a curated record.
GAUAAAUGAAAAUGGGGCUUAGAACAGCAAAUGCAAGUCAACCUGGGAAGACAGUGGCUGGAAAGUAGUAACAGAAAAAGAGUUUGGUUUAAUAGGAGUUGAAAUGUUACAGGUAUUUAAAGUGGUACUAUCUUCAUAAAGACAAAUCCAGUCUAGCAAUGGGUAACUUGCAGGAUGUCAUGCAAGAACCUGGAGAAACUUCACACAGAUGUGGAUCAAAUUGCAGAAGAGAAUGGAUUCCUUUGGGACUCUAUGACUGAGGACUUUGGAGCUGGAGAAGCAGGAGACCAUGAUAACAGUCUUAGAGGGGUGUUCUGAGGCUGACUUCUGUUGGACUAACAAAAGGGGGAACUUUUGUACUGAAGACCAGGACUCUUGCCAUCUAAGACCUGAGGUGGUCAGGAAUGAGAAAUCAGUUCUCUCUCAUGGCAAAGCAACUACGGUUCUGCUGGUACAUAUAAUGGAAGGACACAUGAAUUAACCCAAUAAUUUGAGUAUUUUUUAAAGAAAAAUAAAAAAGUAGAUGAAGUGGUUUAUUUAUAUUAUUUGUGAAUGCUAAUAUUGUACAAAAGAGCAUCACCUCAGUAUAUGCCAUGCUCAGAAUUGCCAGCUUCAAGAAUUAAAAAAUGAUGAAUCAGGCCCCCACAAUUAAAGAUCAGCUUAAAAUGAUGACAUUUUUAAAGAUGUGCUAACUAAAAGAAUAAAGACUAUGUGCUAACUACUUAUGUUAAACUAUCUGUUUGAUCUUGUAAUUAGCUGUGACACUAUACC